UACGGGGGGGGCAAGCGUUGUUCGGAAUUACUGGGCGUAAAGGGCUCGUAGGCGGCCAACUAAGUCGGACGUGAAAUCCCUCGGCUUAACCGGGGAACUGCGUCCGAUACUGGAUGGCUUGAGUUCGGGAGAGGGAUGCGGAAUUCCAGGUGUAGCGGUGAAAUGCGUAGAUAUCUGGAGGAACACCGGUGGCGAGGGCGGCAUCCUGGACCGACACUGACGCUGAGGAGCGAAAGCCAGGGGAGCAAACGGG
Molecule: ribosomal RNA, 253 nt
Filed under: uncultured bacterium
Lineage: Bacteria
Description: partial 16S ribosomal RNA
Rfam family: Bacterial small subunit ribosomal RNA
Source: RNAcentral